Molecule: ribosomal RNA, 402 nt
Filed under: Bacteroidota bacterium
Lineage: Bacteria; Pseudomonadati; Bacteroidota
Description: Bacteroidetes bacterium partial 16S ribosomal RNA
Rfam family: Bacterial small subunit ribosomal RNA
Source: RNAcentral
UGGGGAAUUUUGCACAAUGGGGGAAACCCUGAUGCAGCGACGCCGCGUGAUUUAGAAGGCCUCCGGGUUGUAAAAAUCUUUUCUAUGGGAAGAAAAUGACAGUACCAUAGGAAUAAGGACCGGCCAAUUACGUGCCAGCAGCCGCGGUAAUACGUAAGGUCCGAGCGUUGUCCGGAAUCAUUGGGCGUAAAGGGUACGUAGGCGGGUAAGCAAGUUAGAAGUGAAAUCCUGUAGCUCAACUACAGUAAGCUUUUAAAACUGCUCAUCUUGAGAUAUGGAAGGGAAAGUGGAAUUCCUAGUGUAGCGGUGAAAUGCGCAGAUAUUAGGGGGAAUACCGGUGGCGAAGGCGACUUUCUGGCCAUAAUCUGACGCUGAGGUACGAAAGCGUGGGUAGCAAACAGG